AAAAUGACUCUCGGCAACGGAUAUCUCGGCUCUCGCAUCGAUGAAGAACGUAGCGAAAUGCGAUACUUGGUGUGAAUUGCAGAAUCCCGUGAACCAUCGAGUCUUUGAACGCAAGUUGCGCUCGAAGCCUUUUGGCUGAGGGCACGUCUGCCUGGGCGUCACGC
This 164-nucleotide ribosomal RNA is filed under the name Suaeda sp. Schuetze 1373. Its description in RNAcentral is "5.8S ribosomal RNA". It matches the Rfam family "5.8S ribosomal RNA". From Rfam's summary of the family: 5.8S ribosomal RNA (5.8S rRNA) is a component of the large subunit of the eukaryotic ribosome. It is transcribed by RNA polymerase I as part of the 45S precursor that also contains 18S and 28S rRNA. Lineage: Eukaryota; Viridiplantae; Streptophyta; Magnoliopsida; Caryophyllales; Amaranthaceae. The record is from RNAcentral.